GCUCCAGUGGCGCAAUCGGUUAGCGCGCCGUACUUAUAUAACAGUAUCGGAGAUAUGCGGAGGUUGUGAGUUCGAGCCUCACCUGGAGCA
Molecule: transfer RNA, 90 nt
Filed under: Ciona intestinalis (vase tunicate)
Lineage: Eukaryota; Metazoa; Chordata; Ascidiacea; Phlebobranchia; Cionidae
Rfam family: tRNA
About the family: Transfer RNA (tRNA) molecules are approximately 80 nucleotides in length. Their secondary structure includes four short double-helical elements and three loops (D, anti-codon, and T loops). Further hydrogen bonds mediate the characteristic L-shaped molecular structure. tRNAs have two regions of fundamental functional importance: the anti-codon, which is responsible for specific mRNA codon recognition, and the 3' end, to which the tRNAs corresponding amino acid is attached (by aminoacyl-tRNA synthetases). tRNAs cope with the degeneracy of the genetic code in two manners: having more than one tRNA (with a specific anti-codon) for a particular amino acid; and 'wobble' base-pairing, i.e. permitting non-standard base-pairing at the 3rd anti-codon position.
Source: Rfam by way of RNAcentral